RNAcentral lists this long non-coding RNA (607 nucleotides) under Lupinus angustifolius (narrow-leaved blue lupine). Its description in RNAcentral is "long non-coding RNA (LANG_LNC003101)". Lineage: Eukaryota; Viridiplantae; Streptophyta; Magnoliopsida; Fabales; Fabaceae. The record is from RNAcentral.
CUAAUGUAAUGGUCCUAAGUCCUAACUUAUGAGUGUUUAUAGGCCUGAACCUGUACCUUCUGAAAAUGCCAAACAAAAUUCUACAAGAAACCGAUACAGAGUAACGUAAGAAGAAAUGGCGAGCAUAUCAGGGGAAGUAGCCUUAUGUUGCCAGCGAUCCUAAUAGGUACAAGUGUUAUGUUUACUUCGUAUUUAUAAUAAUAAUAGGCUUAUGAUUUAUGCAUCAUGUUUACUUCGUAUUUACUUCAUAUUUAUUGUAGAGGGGUUAGUAGUUGUUUAAAGCUCCAAAGUAUUUCAAAUUAUUUUUGGGUCAUGUUUACUUCGUAUUUAUUUCAGGAUGGUGGUACUUCUGCUUUAAACUUUGUCCUUUGAGAGACUUAAGCAUGAAACAAGGGUCAAAGUGCUUAAUCCAGAGAGCAUGAAACCUUUACUGAAAAUUCUCGUUUGUAGAAGAAGAAUAGUGUUUUUGUUUUUUGAGAUUUUAUGGUGUAAUUGGAUUUAAUGCAACUUUUGUUAUGUAUUUUGUUUUUAGAACGUCAUAUAAGACUAUUUUUAAUUUUUGAGAUUUUAUGGUGUAAUUGAAUUUAUAAUAAAGGAUGAAUUAUAA